RNAcentral lists this ribosomal RNA (497 nucleotides) under uncultured bacterium. Its description in RNAcentral is "partial 16S ribosomal RNA". It matches the Rfam family "Bacterial small subunit ribosomal RNA", at positions 36 to 507 of the family's 1533-position model. The record is from RNAcentral.
UCUUCCCUCUUUCUUCGUGCCUAAUACAUGCAAGUCGAGCGAACAGACGAGGAGCUUGCUCCUCUGACGUUAGCGGCGGACGGGUGAGUAACACGUGGAUAACCUACCUAUAAGACUGGGAUAACUUCGAGAAACCGGAGCUAAUACCGGAUAAUAUAUUGAACCGCAUGGUUCAAUAGUGAAAGACGGUUUUGCUGUCACUUAUAGAUGGAUCCGCGCCGCAUUAGCUAGUUGGUAAGGUAACGGCUUACCAAGGCAACGAUGCGUAGCCGACCUGAGAGGGUGAUCGGCCACACUGGAACUGAGACACGGUCCAGACUCCUACGGGAGGCAGCAGUAGGGAAUCUUCCGCAAUGGGCGAAAGCCUGACGGAGCAACGCCGCGUGAGUGAUGAAGGUCUUCGGAUCGUAAAACUCUGUUAUUAGGGAAGAACAAAUGUGUAAGUAACUAUGCACGUCUUGACGGUACCUAAUCAGAAAGCCACGGCUAACUACGUG